GAGAAUCAUUCACAAUGGGGGAAACCCUGAUGGUGCGACGCCGCGUGGGGGAAUGAAGGUCUUCGGAUUGUAAACCCCUGUCAUGUGGGAGCAAAUUAAAAAGAUAGUACCACAAGAGGAAGAGACGGCUAACUCUGUGCCAGCAGCCGCGGUAAAACAGAGGUCUCAAGCGUUGUUCGGAAUCACUGGGCGUAAAGCGUGCGUAGGCUGUUUCGUAAGUCGUGUGUGAAAGGCGCGGGCUCAACCCGCGGACGGCACAUGAUACUGCGAGACUAGAGUAAUGGAGGGGGAACCGGAAUUCUCGGUGUAGCAGUGAAAUGCGUAGAUAUCGAGAGGAACACUCGUGGCGAAGGCGGGUUCCUGGACAUUAACUGACGCUGAGGCACGAAGGCCAGGGGAGCGAAAG
Molecule: ribosomal RNA, 406 nt
Filed under: uncultured bacterium
Lineage: Bacteria
Description: bacterial SSU rRNA
Rfam family: Bacterial small subunit ribosomal RNA
Source: RNAcentral